GAUGAACGCUGGCGGCGUGCCUAAUACAUGCAAGUCGAGCGAACGGACGAGAAGCUUGCUUCUCUGAUGUUAGCGGCGGACGGGUGAGUAACACGUGGAUAACCUACCUAUAAGACUGGGAUAACUUCGGGAAACCGGAGCUAAUACCGGAUAAUAUUUUGAACCGCAUGGUUCAAAAGUGAAAGACGGUCUUGCUGUCACUUAUAGAUGGAUCCGCGCUGCAUUAGCUAGUUGGUAAGGUAACGGCUUACCAAGGCAACGAUGCAUAGCCGACCUGAGAGGGUGAUCGGCCACACUGGAGCUGAGACACGGUCCAGACUCCUACGAGAGGCAGCAGUAGGGAAUCUUCCGCAAUGGGCGAAAGCCUGGCGGAGCAACGCCGCGUGAGUGAUGAAGGUCUUCGGAUCGUAAAACUCUGUUAUUAGGGAAGAACAUAUGUGUAAGUAACUGUGCACAUCUUGACGGUACCUAAUCAGAAAGCCACGGCUAACUACGUG
RNAcentral lists this ribosomal RNA (497 nucleotides) under uncultured bacterium. Its description in RNAcentral is "partial 16S ribosomal RNA". It matches the Rfam family "Bacterial small subunit ribosomal RNA", at positions 28 to 507 of the family's 1533-position model. The record is from RNAcentral.